AGACCCGAAACCCGGUGAUCUAGCCAUGGGCAGGUUGAAGGUUGGGUAACACUAACUGGAGGACCGAACCGACUAAUGUUGAAAAAUUAGCGGAUGACCUGUGGCUGGGGGUGAAAGGCCAAUCAAACCGGGAGAUAGCUGGUUCUCCCCGAAAGCUAUUUAGGUAGCGCCUCGUGAAUUCAUCUCCGGGGGUAGAGCACUGUUUCGGCUAGGGGGCCAUCCCGGCUUACCAACCCGAUGCAAACUGCGAAUACCGGAGAAUGUUAUCACGGGAGACACACGGCGGGUGCUAACGUCCGUCGUGAAGAGGGAAACAACCCAGACCGCCAGCUAAGGUCCCAAAGUCAUGGUUAAGUGGGAAACGAUGUGGGAAGGCCCAGACAGCCAGGAUGUUGGCUUAGAAGCAGCCAUCAUUUAAAGAAAGCGUAAUAGCUCACUGGUCGAGUCGGCCUGCGCGGAAGAUGUAACGGGGCUAAACCAUGCACCGAAGCUGCGGCAGCGAACGUAUCACCCAAGACAACUUUACGGAGUUGACGAUUGACGGAGCGAAGCGACGUCAAAGCGUUCAUUAAAGUCGAGUUGGCUUAGGGAUACGUUCGUUGGGUAGGGGAGCGUUCUGUAAGCCUGUGAAGGUGUGUCGUGAGGCAUGCUGGAGGUAUCAGAAGUGCGAAUGCUGACAUAAGUAACGAUAAAGCGGGUGAAAAGCCCGCUCGCCGGAAGACCAAGGGUUCCUGUCCAACGUUAAUCGGGGCAGGGUGAGUCGACCCCUAAGGCGAGGCCGAAAGGCGUAGUCGAUGGGAAACGGGUUAAUAUUCCCGUACUUGGUGUUACUGCGAAGGGGGGACGGAGAAGGCUAUGUUGGCCGGGCGACGGUUGUCCCGGUUUAAGCGUGUAGGUGUGUGUUCCAGGUAAAUCCGGUUCACUUUAACACUGAGGCGUGACGACGAGGCACUACGGUGCUGAAGCAACAAAUGCCCUGCUUCCAGGAAAAGCCUCUAAGCAUCAGGUAACACGAAAUCGUACCCCAAACCGACACAGGUGGUCAGGUAGAGAAUACCAAGGCGCUUGAGAGAACUCGGGUGAAGGAACUAGGCAAA
This 1097-nucleotide ribosomal RNA is filed under the name Salmonella enterica. RNAcentral's name for it is "partial 23S ribosomal RNA". It matches the Rfam family "Bacterial large subunit ribosomal RNA", at positions 711 to 1721 of the family's 2925-position model. The record is from RNAcentral. RNAcentral also lists the same sequence under 1 other name. Lineage: Bacteria; Pseudomonadati; Pseudomonadota; Gammaproteobacteria; Enterobacterales; Enterobacteriaceae.